GCAGGGGUUAGUCCCUGUGCGGGACUACAUGGCAGGCUGGCCUGAGCCUGCAGCCUGUGGCCUGAGCUGAGCUGGCCUGAGCGGGCCUGAUGAGGGCAGGCCAGGCAGGACCAGGCUGGGCCAACUGUGGCUUGAACGGUUGGAGCUGGUGGAGGGAGAUGAUCCGUCCUGGCCUCCACCGGGCCGUGCUGUUCAGAGGGGCUGUCCUCAGCCGUGUGGGACUGUGCCCGGCUGGUGGACUGAGCCGAACCUCCACCCAGAAACCAACCGUCUUCCCCUUGACCUGUUGCAAAAACACCACCGAUGUCACCGCUGUGGCGCUAGGCUGCCUGGUCACCGGCUAUUUCCCGGAGCCAGUGACCGUGACCUGGGACACAGGGUCCCUGAACAGCAGCACCAGGACCUUCCCCGCCAUCCAAAACCUGGAAUCCAGCCUCUACACCACCAGCAGCCAGGUGACCAUCUUGGGCAAGUGGUCCAAGCAGAAAUUCACCUGCAGUGUGGCUCACCCUGACUCCAACAUCACCAUCACCAAGGUCGUCCCUGGGUGCUUCAAGGACUUCCCUGAGCCCUCCGUGAAGCUCUUCCACUCCUCCUGCAACCCCGACGGCGACACCCACACCACCAUCCAGCUUCUGUGCCUCAUCUCUGGCUACAUGCCAGGCAGAAUCCAGGUCGCCUGGCUGGAGGACGGGCAGGCGGUCACAGACAGGUUCCCACAGACCGCCAAUGACAGACCAGAAGGCAAGCUGGCCUCCACCCACAGCCAGCUCAACAUCACGCAGGAGGAGUGGCUGUCCCAGAAAACCUACACCUGCCAGGUCACCUAUAACGGCUUCACCUAUGAAGACCAUGCCCGCAAGUGCACAGAGUCCGACCCCCGCGGUGUGAGCGCCUACCUGAUCCCGCCCACUCCCCUCGACCUGUACGUCCACAAGUCGCCCAAGAUCACCUGCCUGGUGGUGGACCUGGCCAGAAAGGAAGGCAUGAAUCUGACCUGGUUUAGGGAGAACAGGGGUCCUGCACAGCCAGACUCACUCGUCAUCAAGACCCAGUUCAACAAGACAGUCACUGCCACAUCCACCCUGUUGGUGGACGUCCAGGACUGGAUUGAGGGCGAGACCUACUACUGCAAAGUGACCCACCCAGACCUGCCCAGGUCAAUCCUGCGCUCCAUCUCCAAGGCCCCCGGCAAGCGUUUAGCCCCCGAGGUCUACGUGCUCUCGCCACGCAAGGAAGAGCGGGCAGCCAAGGACAAGCUCACCCUCACCUGCCUGGCCCAGAACUUCUUCCCUGAGGACAUCUCCGUGCAGUGGCUGAGGAACAAUGCCCUGAUUCAGACGGACCAGCACAGCACCACGAAGCCCCACAAGGCCAACGGCCCUUCCCCCGCCUUCUUCGUCUACAGCCGCCUGGUGGUCAGCCGGGCCGACUGGGAGCAGAAGAACAAGUUCACCUGCCGAGUGGUCCACGAGGCACUGCCCGGCUCCAGGACCCUCGAGAAAUCCGUGUCCAGUGACCUCGGUAAAUGACGCCUGCCCACCUGCCCUCCCCCGCUCCCUCCCCAGCCCCCAGGGCUCCUUCCUCCUGCGAUGGACCUUCUGUCCAUCAUCAAUAAACACUCCAGU
This is a non-coding RNA of Vicugna pacos (alpaca), 1628 nucleotides long. NCBI's taxonomy places the organism in Eukaryota, Metazoa, Chordata, Mammalia, Artiodactyla, Camelidae. The record is from the annotation of a RefSeq genome assembly.